This 427-nucleotide ribosomal RNA is filed under the name uncultured bacterium. Its description in RNAcentral is "partial 16S ribosomal RNA". It matches the Rfam family "Bacterial small subunit ribosomal RNA", at positions 355 to 774 of the family's 1533-position model. The record is from RNAcentral.
UGGGGAAUAUUGCACAAUGGGCGCAAGCCUGAUGCAGCCAUGCCGCGUGUAUGAAGAAGGCCUUCGGGUUGUAAAGUACUUUCAGCGGGGAGGAAGGCGAUAAGGUUAAUAACCUUGUCGAUUGACGUUACCCGAAGAAGAAGCACCGGCUAACUCCGUGCCAGCAGCCGCGGUAAUACGGAGGGUGCAAGCGUUAAUCGGAAUUAUUGGGCGUAAAGCGCACGCAGGCGGUCUGUCAAGUCGGAUGUGAAAUCCCCGGGCUCAACCUGGGAACUGCAUUCGAAACUGGCAGGCUAGAGUCUUGUAGAGGGGGGUAGAAUUCCAGGUGUAGCGGUGAAAUGCGUAGAGAUCUGGAGGAAUACCGGUGGCGAAGGCGGCCCCCUGGACAAAGACUGACGCUCAGGUGCGAAAGCGUGGGGAGCAAACA